This is a small nucleolar RNA of Dromiciops gliroides (monito del monte), 90 nucleotides long. RefSeq annotates it as small nucleolar RNA SNORD87. The record is from RefSeq and is a predicted model, not a curated record. Lineage: Eukaryota; Metazoa; Chordata; Mammalia; Microbiotheria; Microbiotheriidae. The transcript has a single exon.
ACUGGCAUAAUGAUGAUUUAAAAAAAUAAUAAUUUGCCGUUUACCCAACUGAGUGUUUCCUUGAAGUAGCUUGAAAUCUGAUGUGCCAUA